GAGGGAACGGAACUGAGGACCGAUCC
This 26-nucleotide non-coding RNA is filed under the name Cricetulus griseus (Chinese hamster). Lineage: Eukaryota; Metazoa; Chordata; Mammalia; Rodentia; Cricetidae. The record is from RNAcentral.